CCUACGGGUGGCAGCAGUGGGGAAUAUUGGACAAUGGGGGCAACCCUGAUCCAGCCAUGCCGCGUGUGUGAAGAAGGCCCUCGGGUUGUAGAGCACUUUCAGUGAGGAAGAACGCCUGGUGGUUAAUACCCAUCAGGAAAGACAUCACUCACAGAAGAAGCACCGGCUAACUCCGUGCCAGCAGCCGCGGUAAUACGGAGGGUGCGAGCGUUAAUCGGAAUUACUGGGCGUAAAGCGCGCGUAGGUGGCUUGAUAAGCCGGUUGUGAAAGCCCCGGGCUCAACCUGGGAACGGCAUCCGGAACUGUCAAGCUAGAGUGCAGGAGAGGAAGGUAGAAUUCCCGGUGUAGCGGUGAAAUGCGUAGAGAUCGGGAGGAAUACCAGUGGCGAAGGCGGCCUUCUGGACUGACACUGACACUGAGGUGCGAAAGCGUGGGUAGCAAACAGGAUUAGAUACCCUAGUAGUC
RNAcentral lists this ribosomal RNA (465 nucleotides) under Vreelandella stevensii. RNAcentral describes it as "partial 16S ribosomal RNA". It matches the Rfam family "Bacterial small subunit ribosomal RNA", at positions 338 to 795 of the family's 1533-position model. Lineage: Bacteria; Pseudomonadati; Pseudomonadota; Gammaproteobacteria; Oceanospirillales; Halomonadaceae. The record is from RNAcentral.